UCCCCACCUCAUCUGAUAUGCAGUGAGCGUUCUGGCACAAAAUGGCUGCCGUGCAUCACCCAGGUGGGGGCUACACAGCAGUGGUGCCUGAGGUGGGUUAACCCCUCUUCACUGUAGAUAGUAUUUAGAGAUAAUGAGUGAGAUAAUCAAGUCGCUAUAUAAAUGCAAUGCAUAAUCAUCAACGUUGUUUUGGGGAUUAAGUUUUGAGAGCUUCUUGCCGAAAUGGGUGGCCAAACAUUUUGUUGAGUCAACCAGUUUAGUUUAUACGAGAAUGAGAAUGAUCAAUUAAACUUCUAAAUAACAAUCAUGUUUAAGAAAAUGCCAAGAUGAUUAUUUUUCUAAAACUGCUCUGAGGGGGCUCCAGACUGUCACCAGCUGUAGAUAAUAAU
Long non-coding RNA from Anguilla rostrata (American eel), 389 nucleotides. RefSeq lists it as uncharacterized. Lineage: Eukaryota; Metazoa; Chordata; Actinopteri; Anguilliformes; Anguillidae. The record is from RefSeq and is a predicted model, not a curated record. The transcript is spliced from 2 exons.